UAGAGCCUUACGCCGCCACCAUGAGUUAGCAAGAGCAGGCAGUAUUGUUCCCAAUUUGCACAUGAAGAAGUGAAUGCUCAGCAAAGUUGUCAGAGGCAUUCGAACCAGAGUGACUCCAUUUUGAGUGAGGACUAGGAAAAUGAGGCUGAGACUUGCUGGGCUGCAUUCUCAGAAAGUUAGGCAUUAUUAGCCUCUGCAUGAACAAAUUAAUCGUGUUUACUGAACAGGCCCAGACUUGGGAAUGUCCAGAUAACCUGGUACAAAGGUAUUCCUUUUUUUUUUUUUUUUUUUUGAGACGGAGUCUUACUCUGUUGCCCAGGCAGGAGUGCAGUGGCACGAUGUCGGCUCACUGCAAACUCUGCCUCCCAGAUUCAAGCAAUUCCCUGCCUCAGCCUCCCAAGUAGCCUCCUAAAGUCCUUAUUUAAUAUAUAUUGCUGAAUAAUUCACAUUGAACUCAUAGCCAACAGCACUAUAACUCAUGCCUGCACGAAGCUUAACUACCAGACAUAUUUUCUCCACAUGGCACAUCACAGCUUUCUCUCACUUAGGAACUCUGGACAGCACUUCAGCAUGAUGCUGGGACCAUUUUAAACAGCGGAAUCACCAACACGCAGCAGAAAAAUGCAAAACACAUGGUACCAAGUAGACCUUGAAAAGGACACUUGCUUGUGGUAUGAGCUGAAACAAGAAGGCAGACUGUCACCUUGUUCACCCUCUGCUGGGAAUGUGCACAUCCUGCCAAAUUUUUCUCUGCUCUGUGUUCAUUGAUGGCCAUGCAAGCACUGUGAGUAUUGAUUUUGGCAAUACAAGUAAAUUGUAUGGAGUAGACAAAUUUUUAUUUUUUUAUUUUUAUUUUUUGAGAUGGAGUCUUGC
Molecule: long non-coding RNA, 873 nt
Filed under: Pan troglodytes (chimpanzee)
Lineage: Eukaryota; Metazoa; Chordata; Mammalia; Primates; Hominidae
Description: long non-coding RNA NONPTRT003307
Source: RNAcentral